RNAcentral lists this ribosomal RNA (338 nucleotides) under Phyllocaulis variegatus. RNAcentral describes it as "eukaryotic LSU rRNA". It matches the Rfam family "Eukaryotic large subunit ribosomal RNA", at positions 1 to 313 of the family's 3401-position model. The record is from RNAcentral. Lineage: Eukaryota; Metazoa; Mollusca; Gastropoda; Systellommatophora; Veronicellidae.
GUGCAUGUUACUACCAUCUCCGACCUCAGAUCGGACGAGAUUACCCGCUGAAUUUAAGCAUAUAACUAAGCGGAGGAAAAGAAACUAACAAGGAUUUCCCCAGUAACGGCGAGUGAAGCGGAAAUAGCCCAGCACCGAAUCCCUCAGUGUCACGCUGACGGGAACUGUGGUGUAUGGGACGCCACCAGUCGCAUCAGUGGGCACCGAAGUCCUCCUGAUCGAGGCUUCACCCAGAGCGGGUGUAAGGCCUUUGCAGGUGCCCUACUGUGCGGCCGCGAGCGUCUCAGGAGUCGGGUUGUUUGGGAAUGCAGCCCAAAGCGGGUGGUAACUCCAUCUAA